Molecule: long non-coding RNA, 1003 nt
Organism: Papaver somniferum (opium poppy)
Lineage: Eukaryota; Viridiplantae; Streptophyta; Magnoliopsida; Ranunculales; Papaveraceae
Exons: 2
Source: RefSeq, a predicted model, not a curated record
UACCAAGUCCUGUAGGAAAAUUCCCAAUUAUACCAAAUUUAUCAGCAGACUUGGAUAUAUUCGACUAAGAAUUACUGAAUGAAGUCAAAACCUUGAUGAGAGGAUCAGUUGAAUCAUCGAGGACUUGAACUAUGAUUCGGUCAGACGGCCAUGAAAGGCGGCACACAGCUUCUAUUGACAGCUUGUAAACCUGCAAGCAGCCAUUUUUCAUUUAUUAAUGCUGCCAUAAAGCUGCUGUAAGGGGAAUUGGUGGUGAUGGAGAUGAAAUGAUUCAGUUGUGGGAGGUGGAGGUGAAUACAGUCAGUUAGAUUCUCGACACUACCUACUGCUGGUUUUGAAGCUAGUGUUUUUGGAGUUCAAAAAGACGUUACUACAAAAGAAACCAUCUUGAAGCUAUGGAGGUAUUUAAAGGAAGAAGCUGUCAGUAGAAAAUGGAAUUGAAUUGCUCAGCUAACCUUUCUUUCAUUGUACAUGGGUAUCUGAACCAGCACCAUCGGAUAGUCUGCCGUGCACUUCUGAACCUCACCUUGUUCUUCGACGCUGUGUUCCACAGGAUUAAUGGCUUCGAAUUUGUAACGCUUUUCUGGUUUAAACCCAGAAAGCAUUACAUAAUAGAUUAUGCCUGACAUAUACAAUCGUUCAACGAACACCAUCAGUAUCAUCACUGAACACAGGUAGACUGAUACUGUCAAGACUGGAACUAUGAUCGAGCUUCGUAUUACAUUCCAUAUCAAUCCAAGUUCUCUGAUUAUAUCAUAUUUAGUCAACUGGAACAGAGUUUCAUGAACAUAGCUUGUUAUGAAUGGAGCCCAGUCAUCCAUUACUACUUGCUUGAAACCUUCCAUUCUCAAACUCAACAAGAGAAGAAAAAACAACUUCUGAUUUCAGUGCUCAUUAUUAUUAUUAUCUGAGACUGAGAAUCUAAAGUAGUAAAAACAAGAACAGGUCUUAAGAGAAGUUGUUGUUAGCUGCCAAUAAUGAAUCAAUCAUUUUUAUUCUAUGA